Molecule: transfer RNA, 66 nt
Filed under: Mukaria splendida
Lineage: Eukaryota; Metazoa; Arthropoda; Insecta; Hemiptera; Cicadellidae
Description: tRNA-Tyr
Source: RNAcentral
AUUAUGAUGUCUGAUUUAGGUGGUAAACUGUAAAUUUACUUAAGAAAUAUAUAAUUUCUCAUAAUA